ACUAAGCGUACACGGUGGAUGCCCUGGCAGUCAGAGGCGAUGAAGGGCGUGCUAAUCUGCGAUAAGCGCCGGUAAGGUGAUAUGAACCGUUAUAACCGGCGAUACCCGAAUGGGGAAACCCAGUGUGACUCGUCACACUAUCAUUAACUGAAUCCAUAGGUUAAUGAGGCGAACCGGGGGAACUGAAACAUCUAAGUACCCCGAGGAAAAGAAAUCAACCGAGAUUCCCCCAGUAGCGGCGAGCGAACGGGGAGGAGCCCAGAGCCUGAAUCAGCAUGUGUGUUAGUGGAAGCGUCUGGAAAGGCGCGCGAUACAGGGUGACAGCCCCGUACACAAAAGCGCAUGUGCUGUGAGCUCGAUGAGUAGGGCGGGACACGUGGUAUCCUGUCUGAAUAUGGGGGGACCAUCCUCCAAGGCUAAAUACUCCUGACUGACCGAUAGUGAACCAGUACCGUGAGGGAAAGGCGAAAAGAACCCCGGCGAGGGGAGUGAAAAAGAACCUGAAACCGUGUACGUACAAGCAGUGGGAGCNGUGACUGCGUACCUUUUGUAUAAUGGGUCAGCGACUUAUAUUCUGUAGCAAGGUUAACCGAAUAGGGGAGCCGGAGGGAAACCGAGUCUUAAUUGGGCGUUAAGUUGCAGGGUAUAGACCCGAAACCCGGUGAUCUAGCCAUGGGCAGGUUGAAGGUUGGGUAACACUAACUGGAGGACCGAACCGACUAAUGUUGAAAAAUUAGCGGAUGACCUGUGGCUGGGGGUGAAAGGCCAAUCAAACCGGGAGAUAGCUGGUUCUCCCCGAAAGCUAUUUAGGUAGCGCCUCGUGAAUUCAUCUCCGGGGGUAGAGCACUGUUUCGGCUAGGGGGCCAUCCCGGCUUACCAACCCGAUGCAAACUGCGAAUACCGGAGAAUGUUAUCACGGGAGACACACGGCGGGUGCUAACGUCCGUCGUGAAGAGGGAAACAACCCAGACCGCCAGCUAAGGUCCCAAAGUCAUGGUUAAGUGGGAAACGAUGUGGGAAGGCCCAGACAGCCAGGAUGUUGGCUUAGAAGCAGCCAUCAUUUAAAGAAAGCGUAAUAGCUCACUGGUCGAGUCGGCCUGCGCGGAAGAUGUAACGGGGCUAAACCAUGCACCGAAGCUGCGGCAGCGACGCUUAUGCGUUGUUGGGUAGGGGAGCGUUCUGUAAGCCUGUGAAGGUGGCCUGUGAGGGUUGCUGGAGGUAUCAGAAGUGCGAAUGCUGACAUAAGUAACGAUAAAGCGGGUGAAAAGCCCGCUCGCCGGAAGACCAAGGGUUCCUGUCCAACGUUAAUCGGGGCAGGGUGAGUCGACCCCUAAGGCGAGGCCGAAAGGCGUAGUCGAUGGGAAACGGGUUAAUAUUCCCGUACUUGGUGUUACUGCGAAGGGGGGACGGAGAAGGCUAUGUUGGCCGGGCGACGGUUGUCCCGGUUUAAGCGUGUAGGUGUGUGUUCCAGGUAAAUCCGGUUCACUUUAACACUGAGGCGUGAUGACGAGGCACUACGGUGCUGAAGCAACAAAUGCCCUGCUUCCAGGAAAAGCCUCUAAGCAUCAGGUAACAUCAAAUCGUACCCCAAACCGACACAGGUGGUCAGGUAGAGAAUACCAAGGCGCUUGAGAGAACUCGGGUGAAGGAACUAGGCAAAAUGGUGCCGUAACUUCGGGAGAAGGCACGCUGACACGUAGGUGAAGUGAUUUACUCAUGGAGCUGAAGUCAGUCGAAGAUACCAGCUGGCUGCAACUGUUUAUUAAAAACACAGCACUGUGCAAACACGAAAGUGGACGUAUACGGUGUGACGCCUGCCCGGUGCCGGAAGGUUAAUUGAUGGGGUCAGCGCAAGCGAAGCUCCUGAUCGAAGCCCCGGUAAACGGCGGCCGUAACUAUAACGGUCCUAAGGUAGCGAAAUUCCUUGUCGGGUAAGUUCCGACCUGCACGAAUGGCGUAAUGAUGGCCAGGCUGUCUCCACCCGAGACUCAGUGAAAUUGAACUCGCUGUGAAGAUGCAGUGUACCCGCGGCAAGACGGAAAGACCCCGUGAACCUUUACUAUAGCUUGACACUGAACAUUGAGCCUUGAUGUGUAGGAUAGGUGGGAGGCUUUGAAGCGUGGACGCCAGUCUGCGUGGAGCCGACCUUGAAAUACCACCCUUUAAUGUUUGAUGUUCUAACGUGGACCCGUAAUCCGGGUUGCGGACAGUGUCUGGUGGGUAGUUUGACUGGGGCGGUCUCCUCCUAAAGAGUAACGGAGGAGCACGAAGGUUGGCUAAUCCUGGUCGGACAUCAGGAGGUUAGUGCAAUGGCAUAAGCCAGCUUGACUGCGAGCGUGACGGCGCGAGCAGGUGCGAAAGCAGGUCAUAGUGAUCCGGUGGUUCUGAAUGGAAGGGCCAUCGCUCAACGGAUAAAAGGUACUCCGGGGAUAACAGGCUGAUACCGCCCAAGAGUUCAUAUCGACGGCGGUGUUUGGCACCUCGAUGUCGGCUCAUCACAUCCUGGGGCUGAAGUAGGUCCCAAGGGUAUGGCUGUUCGCCAUUUAAAGUGGUACGCGAGCUGGGUUUAGAACGUCGUGAGACAGUUCGGUCCCUAUCUGCCGUGGGCGCUGGAGAACUGAGGGGGGCUGCUCCUAGUACGAGAGGACCGGAGUGGACGCAUCACUGGUGUUCGGGUUGUCAUGCCAAUGGCACUGCCCGGUAGCUAAAUGCGGAAGAGAUAAGUGCUGAAAGCAUCUAAGCACGAAACUUGCCCCGAGAUGAGUUCUCCCUGAGACUUAGAGUCUCCUGAAGGAACGUUGAAGACGACGACGUUGAUAGGCCGGGUGUGUAAGCGCAGCGAUGCGUUGAGCUAACCGGUACUAAUGAACCGUGAGGCUUAACC
Molecule: ribosomal RNA, 2884 nt
Filed under: Salmonella enterica subsp. enterica serovar Weltevreden
Lineage: Bacteria; Pseudomonadati; Pseudomonadota; Gammaproteobacteria; Enterobacterales; Enterobacteriaceae
Description: bacterial LSU rRNA
Rfam family: Bacterial large subunit ribosomal RNA
Source: RNAcentral